GGAGAUUUGGAUUAGAACCAGGCCCCAUGAAGACAGGCACAGGGAGGACCACGUGAUGACAGAUGCGGAGAUGUGAGUGAAGUGUCUGUCUGCCAAGGAAUGCCGGCAAUACCGGAAGCGAGGAAGAGCUUGUCUGUGAGCUCAUGAAGCCGG
Long non-coding RNA from Lemur catta (Ring-tailed lemur), 153 nucleotides. RefSeq lists it as uncharacterized. NCBI's taxonomy places the organism in Eukaryota, Metazoa, Chordata, Mammalia, Primates, Lemuridae. The transcript has 3 exons. The record is from RefSeq and is a predicted model, not a curated record.